UAGGGAAUCUUCCACAAUGGGCGAAAGCCUGAUGGAGCAACGCCGCGUGUGUGAUGAAGGGUUUCGGCUCGUAAAGCUCUGUUGUUAAAGAAGAACACGUAUGAGAGUAACUGUUCAUACGUUGACGGUAUUUAACCAGAAAGUCACGGCUAACUACGUGCCAG
Molecule: ribosomal RNA, 164 nt
Filed under: uncultured bacterium
Lineage: Bacteria
Description: partial 16S ribosomal RNA
Rfam family: Bacterial small subunit ribosomal RNA
Source: RNAcentral